Molecule: ribosomal RNA, 429 nt
Filed under: Chloroflexota bacterium
Lineage: Bacteria; Bacillati; Chloroflexota
Description: Chloroflexi bacterium partial 16S ribosomal RNA
Rfam family: Bacterial small subunit ribosomal RNA
Source: RNAcentral
UGGGGAAUAUUGCACAAUGGGCGCAAGCCUGAUGCAGCCAUGCCGCGUGUGUGAAGAAGGCCUUCGGGUUGUAAAGCACUGUCAGCGGGGAGGAAGGCGUUAAGGUUAAUAACCUUGGCGAUUGACGUUACCCGCAGAAGAAGCACCGGCUAACUCCGUGCCAGCAGCCGCGGUAAUACGGAGGGUGCAAGCGUUAAUCGGAAUUACUGGGCGUAAAGCGCACGCAGGCGGUCUGUCAAGUCGGAUGUGAAAUCCCCGGGCUCAACCUGGGAACUGCAUUCGAAACUGGCAGGCUAGAGUCUUGUAGAGGGGGGUAGAAUUCCAGGUGUAGCGGUGAAAUGCGUAGAGAUCUGGAGGAAUACCGGUGGCGAAGGCGGCCCCCUGGACAAAGACUGACGCUCAGGUGCGAAAGCGUGGGGAGCAAACAGG